UCAGACGAUGCGUCAUGCAUAUCAAUAAGCGGAGGAAAAGAAACUAACAAGGAUUCCCUUAGUAACGGCGAGUGAAGCGGGAAGAGCUCAAAUUUGAAAUCUUCAAGGUUUUACCUUGACGAAUUGUAGUUUAAAGAAGUGUUUUCUGCUGAAGUUUUGGUAAAAGUUCUUUGGAAUAGGACAUCAUAGAGGGUGAGAAUCCCGUAUUUGACCAUUAUUUUCAGCUUUGUGAUACACUUUCAAAGAGUCGGAUUGUUUGGGAAUGCAGUCCAAAAUGGGUGGUAAAUUUCAUCUAAAGCUAAAUAUUGGCGAGAGACCGAUAGCGAACAAGUACCGUGAGGGAAAGAUGAAAAGAACUUUGAAAAGAGAGUUAAACAGUACGUGAAAUUGUCAAAAGGGAAGCGUUUGACACCAGUGUUGUUUUCUCGAAGAUCAAUUAAAAAUGGCUCGAUUUUGUAUUGCUUGAGACCUUAAAAGCUCACUGUACAUUUUUCGUGUCUUUUUUAAUGCACUUUUCGUUUAACAAGUCAACAUCAGUUUCUUUUGUUGUAAAAGGGUCAUUGGAAGGUGGCUUUCUUUUCGGAGAAAGUGUUUAUAGCCUUUGGCCUCUGCAAUCGGAGAGACUGAGGUCUGCAGCGUAGACUCUUCGGGGUUAGAUACAUUUGUGCUAAGUUAUAGCUUUUUAUAGACAACUUGUUGACUAUAAUUAGUCUUGUAGCUUACUCGCUUAUGCUAUUUUACCUACGCUUAGGAUGUUGAACUACUGAGACAUAGA
Molecule: ribosomal RNA, 775 nt
Filed under: uncultured Neocallimastigales
Lineage: Eukaryota; Fungi; Neocallimastigomycota; Neocallimastigomycetes; Neocallimastigales
Description: partial large subunit ribosomal RNA
Rfam family: Eukaryotic large subunit ribosomal RNA
Source: RNAcentral